CCUAAGUGGGUGGUAAACUCAUUCUAAAACUAAAUAUAACCAUGAGACCGAUAGUAAACAAGUACCGUGCACUUUUUCCAUAUAAAGGACAUUGUAAUAUGUUAAUAUAUUAUAUAUAUUUAUCAAAAGAUCUAUUAUAUAUGUUUAUUUUAAUUAUUUAUUUUCGAAUAUUUAACAUAAAAUAAAAUUAAUAGAUUUGAUAAAUUAUUAACAUAUAUAAAUUUUUAUAUAAUGCUUAAAUUUUAUAUAUUUAUAUAAAAUUUUACAAUAAUUAAAUAAAUCUAUUGAUUUAUUUUAUAUUUAUUGUAUGCAUUUAUAUGAUUAACAAUGAUUAAAUAGAUUCAGGAUACCUUCGGGACCCGUCUUGAAACACGGACCAAGGAGUCUAACAUAUGUGCAAGUUAUUGGGUUAUAUUUUUUUAAAAAAUUAAACCCAAUAGCGUAAUUAACUUAACUGUUUUUAUAUAUGGGAUUAAUUUAUAUUUUAUUUUAUAAAAUUUAAAUACAAUCCUGGGGCGUUCUAUAUAGUUAUGUAUAAUAAUAUUUAUAUUAUUUAUACCUCUAACUAGAGCGUACCUUGAGCAA
This 585-nucleotide ribosomal RNA is filed under the name Alipumilio avispas. RNAcentral describes it as "eukaryotic LSU rRNA". The record is from RNAcentral. Lineage: Eukaryota; Metazoa; Arthropoda; Insecta; Diptera; Syrphidae.